AAACCAAAACACUGGAUCGGGACUUGGCUGCGGCGGCGAACGUGACACACUGCUCGUAUCGCACAGUCCAUCUCAAGCUGCGGCUUUUAUCCCCGCCAGCCUCCUCCCACGCCGGCCACUUCUACAGUUCUACUCCGGUGGGCCUACGAGGUGCGCUUCGUUCGCCGCUCUCUUCUGAGAAGCCCGCCUCCCGUCGCUUGCCGUCGACCUCCCCGCCCUCGCUCGGACGCAGCGUUUGUUGGGGGCAUAGCAUAGCUCUCAUGGGUCCUCCAGUUCUUUCUACUGAUGGUGGAAGCUGCCCUUCUAACCCACCAGCUAUAUGCAGAAGUAAACUGGCUAAAUCUACAAUAGAGCUAAGGAAGCCGUUUGCUUCGGUCACCAUGAAAGAGGAACCAUUUAACUUCUUACGCACUUUAUGUGAUGGUGUGGUAGCUGGAGCUACUGCUGGAGUGGUUGUUGAAACAGUUCUUUACCCAAUAGAUACUAUAAAAACCCGGCUUCAGGCUGCUCGAGUUGGAAGCAAAAUUCAUUGGAAAGGCUUAUAUUCAGGAUUGGCUGGCAACCUGGCAGGAGUUUUACCGGCCUCUGCCAUAUUUGUGGGGAUAUAUGAACCAACCAAACAACAACUAGUGAAGAUGUUUCCAGAAAAUCUCAGUGCUGUUGCCCAUUUGACCGCUGGCGCUAUUGGUGGACUUGCUGCUUCACUUAUUCGUGUUCCAACAGAGGUUGUCAAACAAAGGAUGCAAACUGGGCAGUUUACCUCUGCACCUAAUGCUGUUCGUCUUAUUGCUGCUAAAGAAGGAAUCAGAGGUUUAUAUGCUGGUUAUAAUUCUUUUCUUUUACGAGAUCUACCUUUUGAUGCAAUCCAAUUUUGUAUAUAUGAGCAGCUCCGGAUUGGGUACAAGAUCGCAGCAAGGAGGGAAUUAAAUGAUCCAGAGAAUGCUUUAAUUGGUGCAUUUGCAGGUGCAAUAACUGGAGCUGUAACUACACCACUUGAUGUGAUGAAGACUAGAUUGAUGGUUCAGGGUUCAGCAAGUCAAUACAAGGGGCUGAUCAAUUGUGCUCAGACAAUUUUGAAAGAAGAAGGCCCAGCUGCUUUCUUAAAGGGCAUUGGACCAAGAGUAUUAUGGAUUGGCAUCGGCGGCUCAAUCUUCUUUGGCGUUCUGGAGAGGACAAAACUGUUGCUUUCCCAGCGACAUUUCGAUCAGAGAAUCAAAUCUUAGCCGUCUACAUAGCAGCAUAUUGCUGGAGUUUUCCAGCAACCACAUCGCAGAGAUGACUAGAACUCUUCUUCCCUAGAGAUUUACAAACAGCAGGGACUAUUUUAUCGACAUUGUUCCUAAUCAUUUCCCCUCUUCAGUAUUUUCACAAUGCUAUUAUGAUACCUCAAACACUUGGACGGCCAGAUUUGAGCUAGGGGCGCUGGUGGUCCGUUUUCGACCGUCAGAUCAUGAUGUCUCAGUUCUUAAGGAUAUUAUUAAAGGGCCGCUCGAUGAGUUGGGCUCUGUGAGCUUCCUGCGAGACCUUGAUCGAGC
This is an RNA transcript of Zingiber officinale, 1535 nucleotides long. It is a transcript of the gene named S-adenosylmethionine carrier 1, chloroplastic/mitochondrial-like, with no coding region annotated. NCBI's taxonomy places the organism in Eukaryota, Viridiplantae, Streptophyta, Magnoliopsida, Zingiberales, Zingiberaceae. The transcript is spliced from 14 exons. The record is from RefSeq and is a predicted model, not a curated record.